RNAcentral lists this ribosomal RNA (613 nucleotides) under Anaplasma sp. Omsk. RNAcentral's name for it is "bacterial SSU rRNA". It matches the Rfam family "Bacterial small subunit ribosomal RNA", at positions 48 to 689 of the family's 1533-position model. Lineage: Bacteria; Pseudomonadati; Pseudomonadota; Alphaproteobacteria; Rickettsiales; Anaplasmataceae. The record is from RNAcentral.
UUAACACAUGCAAGUCGAACGGACCAUACACGCAGCUUGCUGCGUGUAUGGUUAGUGGCAGACGGGUGAGUAAUGCAUAGGAAUCUACCUAGUAGUAUGGGAUAGCCACUAGAAAUGGUGGGUAAUACUGUAUAAUCCCUGCGGGGGAAAGAUUUAUCGCUAUUAGAUGAGCCUAUGUCAGAUUAGCUAGUUGGUGGGGUAAUGGCCUACCAAGGCGGUGAUCUGUAGCUGGUCUGAGAGGAUGAUCAGCCACACUGGAACUGAGACACGGUCCAGACUCCUACGGGAGGCAGCAGUGGGGAAUAUUGGACAAUGGGCGCAAGCCUGAUCCAGCUAUGCCGCGUGAGUGAGGAAGGCCUUAGGGUUGUAAAACUCUUUCAGUAGGGAAGAUAAUGACGGUACCUACAGAAGAAGUCCCGGCAAACUCCGUGCCAGCAGCCGCGGUAAUACGGAGGGGGCAAGCGUUGUUCGGAAUUAUUGGGCGUAAAGGGCAUGUAGGCGGUUUGGUAAGUUAAAGGUGAAAUACCAGGGCUUAACCCUGGGGCUGCUUUUAAUACUGCAGGACUAGAGUCCGGAAGAGGAUAGCGGAAUUCCUAGUGUAGAGGUGAAAUUC